Molecule: ribosomal RNA, 693 nt
Filed under: Vibrio parahaemolyticus
Lineage: Bacteria; Pseudomonadati; Pseudomonadota; Gammaproteobacteria; Vibrionales; Vibrionaceae
Description: partial 23S ribosomal RNA
Rfam family: Bacterial large subunit ribosomal RNA
Source: RNAcentral
AUCGGGGUUGCGGACAGUGCCUGGUGGGUAGUUUGACUGGGGCGGUCUCCUCCCAAAGAGUAACGGAGGAGCACGAAGGUGGGCUAAUCACGGUUGGACAUCGUGAGGUUAGUGCAAUGGCAUAAGCCCGCUUGACUGCGAGAAUGACAAUUCGAGCAGGUGCGAAAGCAGGUCAUAGUGAUCCGGUGGUUCUGAAUGGAAGGGCCAUCGCUCAACGGAUAAAAGGUACUCCGGGGAUAACAGGCUGAUACCGCCCAAGAGUUCAUAUCGACGGCGGUGUUUGGCACCUCGAUGUCGGCUCAUCACAUCCUGGGGCUGAAGUCGGUCCCAAGGGUAUGGCUGUUCGCCAUUUAAAGUGGUACGCGAGCUGGGUUUAGAACGUCGUGAGACAGUUCGGUCCCUAUCUGCCGUGGGCGUUGGAAGAUUGAAGGGGGCUGCUCCUAGUACGAGAGGACCGGAGUGGACGAACCUCUGGUGUUCGGGUUGUGUCGCCAGACGCAUUGCCCGGUAGCUAAGUUCGGAAUCGAUAACCGCUGAAAGCAUCUAAGCGGGAAGCGAGCCCUGAGAUGAGUCUUCCCUGAUACUUUAAGUAUCCUAAAGGGUUGUCGGAGACUACGACGUUGAUAGGUCAGGUGUGUAAGUGCUGUGAGGCAUUGAGCUAACUGAUACUAAUUGCCCGUGAGGCUUAACCAU